RNAcentral lists this ribosomal RNA (145 nucleotides) under uncultured bacterium. RNAcentral's name for it is "partial 16S ribosomal RNA". It matches the Rfam family "Bacterial small subunit ribosomal RNA", at positions 354 to 509 of the family's 1533-position model. The record is from RNAcentral.
GUGGGGAAUCUUGCGCAAUGGGCGAAAGCCUGACGCAGCGACGCCGCGUGCGGGAUGACGGCCUUCGGGUUGUAAACCGCUUUCAGCAGGGACGAGGCCGCAAGGUGACGGUACCUGCAGAAGAAGCCCCGGCUAACUACGUGCC